This 54-nucleotide non-coding RNA is filed under the name Candidatus Desantisiibacteriota. Its description in RNAcentral is "Candidatus Desantisbacteria Li+-I sequence". It matches the Rfam family "nhaA-I RNA". From Rfam's summary of the family: Acidobacteria, Alphaproteobacteria, Betaproteobacteria and Gammaproteobacteria, Verrucomicrobia, cand. division NC10. Downstream gene The record is from RNAcentral.
GGGUCUGGGAACCAUAUCCCAGAGGUUAAAUGAGCGAUGGUCGGGCCGCCAUCC